UACGUAGAGUGCAAGCGUUGUCCGGAAUUAUUGGGCGUAAAGAGCGUGUAGGCGGAUAGAUAAGUCAGAAGUGAAAUCCAAUAGCUUAACUAUUGAACUGCUUU
This 104-nucleotide ribosomal RNA is filed under the name uncultured bacterium. RNAcentral describes it as "partial 16S ribosomal RNA". It matches the Rfam family "Bacterial small subunit ribosomal RNA", at positions 524 to 627 of the family's 1533-position model. The record is from RNAcentral.